Molecule: long non-coding RNA, 1194 nt
Organism: Dromaius novaehollandiae (emu)
Lineage: Eukaryota; Metazoa; Chordata; Aves; Casuariiformes; Dromaiidae
Exons: 4
Source: RefSeq, a predicted model, not a curated record
AACCGCAGGCUCAAAUCCCACCAUCUGCACUGCCGCGGGCUCCCGGGCAGCGCUGCCAUGUCAGCCUGGCUCCCAAACGCAGCGCAGCGCACAGGGUCUCGGUCUUUAUAAAACUGCACUAUAAAUAACUACAUUUGUGUCGUGCCUCUCACGAGGGCAUUUUCAAGAGAUCACUCCCUUUCCGAUUUAACACGUGCUUUCGGGGGGCCACGAAAACACCGCGCGGACCUGCGGGGGCUUUAAAGUUCACUGCAGGAGCGAGGUGCGCUGGGGAGGCUGCUGCCGCCUUUGUGGGGAAAGUUAGGGCGCUGCUCCGAGGGGGAGCAGCGGGCUGCGGAAGGGGCUGCACCCCAAGGCGCUGUGCUGACGGAUGCGGGAAAGAAUGAGAAAAUUAAAAAACAGAGAGACCGCGGCACCCCAACGCUCGAACAAACCUCAAGACAGAUGAUUCAGAUGCUGCCUUUGACUCCAGUGCGGGGAGAAACUGAAGUGACAGCCAAAGAGUAUGUGGACUACUCCUUCCCUUGAGUCCUCUGAAAACAACUCUAAAGUCCAUAAGGGCAGAGCAUCAAGGACUAAGCUGAGUUCGAGGGACAAGAAAAGAAGCUACAGGAGCACAGAGCCAAAUCCAGACGUUUCAUGCAUGAGGACGAAAGUGCAAACCACCCACAGGCACACAGGCCUGCACCUUACUGAAAUGGAUAUGGGAGCUGCAGCGGGAAGCACCUGCAUUUCCAGAACAACACUAUGGCAAAAAGGACCUUUAGAAACAUGGAAUACAGAAAUGGGAAGGUGUUUUUACUUCUGCAAUACACACUAAUGAGAGCAAUAUUGAAGCUGGCUGGUCUUAAGAUGAGACAUUUGCCCACAGGUCUUCCUGGAAAUGCAUUUUCACCUAACGAAAACAUGAUGGUAGUCAGGGAUUUGCAAUACUCAGAGAUGCACAAUGCUGCACUACGCUACCUUAAAUAUUUUAUGUCUGUGAAUUUCUCCCACAACAGAAGAGGCUUGGAACAAUACAACCUCCUUUUUGUUUUCAUUCAGUACAUCUGAAAACUAGAUACAAAGAACCAGCCAAGAUCCACAAAGCCAUCUAGUAUGCUUUCUAACUCGAAGAGGGGGCUGCUCCCACGGGACACGGAUGCCGAGGCAGAAGCAGCAGCGGCAGGAAAGGGCACCAGGAAGGGCGCAGGC